CUUGGAACCCAGCAGAGCCUGGAGACCAUUCUUGGUAGAAAUUUGAGAUGAAACUGCCUUCUUUUGGGUGAUAAGGAAGUUCAGUAGACUGGAAGCGUCUCAUGCUGGCUGGCCUUGAUGCCAGAGGACAGACCUGGGCAUGUCUGAGACGCUGCUCUGGACAUGGCCUGGGUGUCUCCAGCUGCCUGUCCUUAGGACAGAAGGCUCUUUUGUGGUUGGAAAGGAUUUUAUGGUGCUUUAAAGGUCAGUACUGGAGCUGGCUGUUCAGGAUAGUACAGUGUAGCUUGAUGGGAGCUGCUAUGGAAGGAGCUGGGUAAACUCACUUGCCUGGCUGCUCCCUCAUACACCAGGGAAGGAAAUACCUGCAUUGGAAAUGGCUGAACUGUGCUACCUGUGUUUCCUUCUGGCCUUCUGAUCACUGACAAAGAUAAGCUGCAUCACUAAGAGCAGAAUGGUUUAAAUUUGUGCCAGAAGGACCCAGAAACCUUAAUUUCAUUGUAAACCACGUGAGUUACCAGCUACUGAGGACUCCACUUACUUGAGGAGUUUGCAUGGGUUUUUUCAGGCCAUCCUUAAGUAGUUUUCCAUCAGCAAACCUCUUCUCAUGCCUUGUAACCCAGACUGGAGUGAAAGAGGAGAGCCAGGCGGAAGCUGCAGGAUCUUGGGCUUGGUCUGACUGGUGGCUGGUUAACACAGCUGCCCUCCAGCAGGCAGAAAUGGGAUUCCCUGGAAAGUUGCUUGUCUUGGCAUUUUUAAUAAAUUGCUCCCUAGAGGGAAAAUACAAAAUGUUGCUGUCCUUGAAUCCAUGGAGGAGUGGCUUUGAAGUUUUGGACCUGAGAGAAGACUAAAAGUCUAACCAUGAUAUUUGUCUGAAAGGGCAUCUUUAACAUUGAGUUGUCAGCCUUGGAGUGGGUGUUCCUGUUGCCCUGAAAGUACCAAGUGCCUGAGGAACACGGGAUGUGGCUCACAGGUCCUUGCUGUGGUGACACUGGGAUGAUCAUGUUCUAUUAAACCAGUCCUAGCAGAGCUACAGAGAGCUGUGAGUGAAGUCAGGACAAAUUUACACCACAAAAUGCUUCUCACCACUGGAAUGCCAGAAGCAGUGGGAAUCAAAGCUGGUCUGCAGCAUUGACUGGAUACAGUCUAGACACAUUGACUUGGCAAAUGCCUGGAGUUAGUCAGCUCUUUUUCUUCAUUCAGGCUCUUGUCAUAUGGCCUUUGUUCACCCCACAGUUUGGUAGAAGGCUCAAGGAGUACCUGUUUGUGCUGAAAUCUGCAGGGAUGUGGGAACACAGCGGGGAGCAUGGGCAUUCACAGAGAGAGACUGGAUCCACAAGUCUCUCACACUGAAAUUCUGUGUCUGCAGUGAGCUGGGCUGCACUACUUUCUCAUUUUGUUCUCUGCCUUUACUUUUGCAAGGCACUGUGUGUCCCUGUCUAUGCCAGAGGGCUGGUUAAGUCUCUUCUAAUUAUUCUAGAAUGAAUAUUGAACAGACAAAUCCAGGCAGUGCUGCCAGCUCCAGUGAUUUUGUCAGUCUUGCAAUAUUUGCUUUUUGUUCUCGUGGCUUUUGCUCCUAGAUUCAUGCAAUGAAAUUCCACUUUCCACUAGCAAACAAGAGGAGGGGAAAGAAAAGCACUCCAGGUGUCCAAUCUACCUGGCAGGGAAAGUCAGGACCAGUGGCACAGGAACUCCCAGGCUGUCAGAACUGGGCUCAUCAACCCCAUGAGGGCUCCAUCUCUCCACCAUGGAUAUUGCAAAUAAUCCCUGCUCAAUAAAUCAGACUAACAAACUGCUGCUUCUCUCUCU
Junco hyemalis (dark-eyed junco) is the source of this 1806-nucleotide long non-coding RNA. NCBI's taxonomy places the organism in Eukaryota, Metazoa, Chordata, Aves, Passeriformes, Passerellidae. The record is from Ensembl.